RNAcentral lists this ribosomal RNA (460 nucleotides) under uncultured bacterium. RNAcentral's name for it is "partial 16S ribosomal RNA". It matches the Rfam family "Bacterial small subunit ribosomal RNA", at positions 338 to 795 of the family's 1533-position model. The record is from RNAcentral.
CCUACGGGUGGCAGCAGUGAGGAAUAUUGGUCAAUGGGCUUACGCCUGAACCAGCCAAGUCGCGUGAGGGAAGACUGCCCUAUGGGUUGUAAACCUCUUUUGUCAGGGAGCAACGCCGGCUACGUGUAGCCGGACUGAGAGUACCUGAAGAAAAAGCAUCGGCUAACUCCGUGCCAGCAGCCGCGGUAAUACGGAGGAUGCGAGCGUUAUCCGGAUUUAUUGGGUUUAAAGGAUGCGUAGGCGGAAUGCCAAGUCAGCGGUAAAAUCGCGGGGCUCAACCUCGCUCCGCCGUUGAAACUGGCGUGCUUGAGUGGGCGAGAAGUAUGCAGAAUGCGUGGUGUAGCGGUGAAAUGCAUAGAGAUCACGCAGAACUCCGAUUGCGAAGGCAGCAUACCGGCGCCCAACUGACGCUGAAGCACGAAAGCGUGGGUAUCGAACAGGAUUAGAUACCCGAGUAGUC